Molecule: long non-coding RNA, 837 nt
Filed under: Eucalyptus grandis
Lineage: Eukaryota; Viridiplantae; Streptophyta; Magnoliopsida; Myrtales; Myrtaceae
Description: long non-coding RNA (EGRA_LNC003704)
Source: RNAcentral
GACAAAAUAUGAGACUAAAAGUAAAGAAAAGAGAGGCAGUGGAGAAUUUUUAUAUAUUUCUAUGUACAUUGAAGAAGAAUACGUAAGCUUAUUUAUAGAUUUUAUUGGAUGAUUAUGUGACGUCCUAGGUACAUCACAUGCUACAUGCGUCCUUUCCAUUUAUACUCAUAAUCAUAAUUACGCAUGUGGAAAUACCACAAAAUACAUCAGAACAUACCAUAUGAGAAAGUCGCACUAGUUUACUAUAUAUGCUUCUUCUUCUUCAUACAAAUACUAGUACUUAUUAUCACAACAUAUAGUCCUGAGACUUGUAGGUUAUGGGCACAUUGGUACUACUACUCCUAUACUAAUCCACAAGCAAGUCACCACCCAACUUGGGGGUUAAUGGUCUCAGGCAUCAUCUCAUCCCUUUCUUCGUCAUACCCCAAAGGGAACAUCCUACACACUGAAAAAUAAAUGAUGAAUUGAAGCUCGAUAAAUGAAAUCCCUACAUAUAAGGUAGGAGAUCAUCUUAGCACUUAACCUAGUACCAAUCAAAUAACAUGAGUUCAAGACAAUAAUUAUGUGUGGACAAGUUCUUCUUCUUUACUAACACGAUAUGCCAAUAAAACCAUUAACCAUAUUGCAAGUUCAUCCACUCAUAAGCAAGCAUAAAAUAUGACCUAACAUUUCAUGAUGUACUAGUAUUACCUAUUGGUUUAGUACCAUCAUUUGUAAGAGUAUGCUUAGGCAAGUCCAUACUUGUCAUGCAUUUCACCACGCACAUAAGUGAAUUCAUACAUGUCGUGCGUUUCUCCACCACUAUGCAUAUCUUCCAGACUUGUCACAACUCUCACC